UUAGAUUUAUAGGGGUGCUUGUUUUUACUUCACAUAUAGUCUUGGUUUGGAAAAACUCAUUUUUGGAGCCUUAGAGUUGUAGAGAAGGUAGGACCGUAGGAGAGGGAAAAAAGAAGAAAGGUUUAACACUUGCAAGAAGAAGGAAACGACAACAUAGACGGUACCGAAUGAUAAGUAAAAACUUGGAAAGUACUAAGGUUCAAUGUUUGGUAGCCACUGUCCGUCUAUAGUCUUGGGUGUUGGAUGGGGAAAUGAGCAAGAGAGUGUUUUGUAUGAUAUGUAAUUAUUGUAGAUGAGUUUGGUAGUGAAACUUAUAAUUAAAUGUUUAGUUUUUGUUAGUACUUGCAGAAUAAGUUUGUGGUUUGUUUUUAUUUGUGGACUAUUAGACAUGCACUCUGAUGUAGAUUAACGUCACCAAUGUCAAUGUGUGAUAUCAAUAAGGAUGGUUA
Molecule: long non-coding RNA, 449 nt
Organism: Cornus florida
Lineage: Eukaryota; Viridiplantae; Streptophyta; Magnoliopsida; Cornales; Cornaceae
Exons: 3
Source: RefSeq, a predicted model, not a curated record